RNAcentral lists this non-coding RNA (30 nucleotides) under Mus musculus (house mouse). The record is from RNAcentral. Lineage: Eukaryota; Metazoa; Chordata; Mammalia; Rodentia; Muridae.
UGGGUUCAGAGGACAACAUCUUACUCUGGC